RNAcentral lists this ribosomal RNA (301 nucleotides) under uncultured bacterium. Its description in RNAcentral is "partial 16S ribosomal RNA". It matches the Rfam family "Bacterial small subunit ribosomal RNA", at positions 509 to 807 of the family's 1533-position model. The record is from RNAcentral.
CAGCAGCCGCGGUAAUACGAAGGGGGCUAGCGUUGCUCGGAAUUACUGGGCGUAAAGGGCGCGUAGGCGGAUCGUUUAGUUAGAGGUGAAAGCCCAGGGCUCAACCCUGGAAUUGCCUUUAAUACUGGCGGUCUUGAGUAUGGCAGAGGUGUGUGGAACUCCGAGUGUAGAGGUGAAAUUCGUAGAUAUUCGGAAGAACACCAGUGGCGAAGGCGACACACUGGGCCAUUACUGACGCUGAGGCGCGAAAGCGUGGGGAGCAAACAGGAUUAGAUACCCGCGUAGUCCCUGUCUCUUAUAC